UUGAAUCUUUGAUUUUUUUUUAUGAAUAAGUGUCAACUUUCUAUUAAUUAGGAAAUAAAAGUAUACAUAUUCAAAAAAAGAAAAAAGAAAAAACUGGAUGGAUACAAGAUCACACCUGAGAGUCAAAAUUUAAAACUCAUGUGGUGUUUUACUUGUUAGCUAGGUUCCUUGAAAAGAUUCCCUUUUAUUUCUUUUGAUAUACUUGAUCUUGGAUGGCUAUAGAUUCUCCCAAUCCUCAUUUAAUGUAAAAUUUCUCACGCAUUUAUAAUAUGGAACACUAUUGUAUGAAUAUCAGUUUUAGGUCUGCUGCUACUAUGCCGCCUUCAUAGAUUUGGUACUGGUAAAGUGAGUUAUCUGUUCUCCCCUGUUGCAAUUGUCUGGUUCAUUAACAAUGACAUUAUUGGAGUAUACAAUAUUUUUAAAUAUUAUUCAGGAGUAUUCAAGGCAAUCAACCCUAUUCAGUUUGAGCAGUGUUUCUGAUUAUAAUGUUCUCUGGAACUACUGAAGGCAGAUCGAGUACAAAUAUCUAUCAGAGAGAAAUAGAAGCUCAGGAGUGUUUCUUGUCCAAUUUUGUUGAUUGAAGAAAUAGACCAUGUAAUAAGGGUUGAGUUCCUUGAAUGCCCCUGGGUAAUAUUUUGCAAUAUGGUAUAUUUCAAUAAGGGCAUUGAUCAUGAACUACAGAACAUUAAAAGGGAGGACAGAAAACUCACUUUACCAGUACCAAAUCUUAGGAGGAGGAAUAGUAGCAGCAGAACUACAACUGAUAUUCCUACAACAGCUUGAGUCUCUCUUAUGUAUAAUUCAAAUGAAAGGCAUUCAUAAAAGCAUGUGGUGUUCCUAAAUUAAAGAGCUUGCUGAGUUGUCUACUCAAAAUAUAUAACUGGUUAUGUAAACAAUGUUUUGAAUCAUAGAAUAGAAUUCUUGAUAAGCUUGAGGCAAGAAAAAGUUUUAAGUUCAAUCUAAAAAUUGGCCUAAAAUGUUUAUGUAUUGAGGAAUGUUUUGUAGGAUUUUGAAGACAGUUUGUGAUCAAGUGAACUGGUCACUAUUAUUGUGGAUUAUACCUUCAUGCCUUCUUUCUUAAUGCAUUUCAUCUCCUACCUUUACAUUGCCAUUCUCUGAAUUUCACUCAAUUCAUUUGCUUCCUCAGAAUUUCCUGUGUAUUGUUAAUUUUCUGAUGUUGGUUAUGUCCUGUAAAAGCCAAUGCAUUUCGAUCCACAACAGCUUCCAAUGGAGAAGGUGAGCCUCCAACAAUGUGAAAUGAAUUAGAGAUUAUUUUUCCUAUUAAAGGUAAGAUUUCACUGAUUUAAUGUUGCUAUACAUUUCUUUUAACAUUAUAUUCAAACCUAAUGUUUUAUAAUGCUUUUAGCUGCUCAUACGAUGUUAAAAUUUUAGUUAGUGGCUCUAAUUAGGCUUGGCAACAACUACUGAAAGGGUUAGAAGAAUUUAAUAACGAGGAACUCAAUUGUUUACUAUUUAUGCAUUGUCAAUGAGCGGACAAUAGUCUUUAAAAUCAAUAACCCAAACUAUGUAGCAUGGACUAAGACAAGAAAGUAGAUGCACAAGAUUUGAGGAAAAUAAUCUAUAGAUUUUUAGUUCUGCCUGGAAUUUUAGCCCAGGGCAUCCACAUUAACUAGUGAUUAAUUAAUUAUUAAUCAAUGCCUUAAUAGAUCAAUCACAUUCAAUUGUAUUAUUAAUUUCUUUUCUGUUGGUAAGAUGUGAGGGUUAAGCCAUACGUUUUUUAUGUAAGAUAUUGAUUAAAUAGUUUUUGCUGCUCUUUGAUUGGGGUUCAAUUUGUCUCUGUAGAUUGUCAGAGGCUUGUGCAGUGGACGAGGCGAUAACCUAGUUGUUUCAGGAUCUUAACAGGCUUGUUUCCCAGACUUUGGAUCAAACCAACGUGUAACAAUAUUGCCUAUCUCUUUUGGAGAUUUACAGAAGACUUCAGCUCCAUUAUCCAUAAGGCACAUUUCCAACUUACUGCAAAUUGAAGCAAUCAGCAAAACAAUUAAAUUUAUUUCCAACUCUGUAGUCAUAUUUUGCAAAUUUUGAAAACCAUAUUGCCAACUAUUUCAUUGGAAACUAACUUUUUAAUA
Molecule: long non-coding RNA, 2090 nt
Organism: Cryptomeria japonica (Japanese cedar)
Lineage: Eukaryota; Viridiplantae; Streptophyta; Pinopsida; Cupressales; Cupressaceae
Exons: 2
Source: RefSeq, a predicted model, not a curated record